GUCUGGCUCAGAUUGAACGCUGGCGGCAUGCUUUACACAUGCAAGUCGAACGGCAGCAUAGAGAGCUUGCUCUCUGAUGGCGAGUGGCGAACGGGUGAGUAAUACAUCGGAACGUGUCCGUUUGUGGGGGACAACCACCCGAAAGGGUGGCUAAUACCGCAUAAGACCUGAGGGUGAAAGCCGGGGACCGCAAGGCCUGGCGCGAACGGAGCGGCCGAUGACUGAUUAGCUGGUUGG
This 237-nucleotide ribosomal RNA is filed under the name uncultured bacterium. RNAcentral's name for it is "partial 16S ribosomal RNA". It matches the Rfam family "Bacterial small subunit ribosomal RNA", at positions 17 to 252 of the family's 1533-position model. The record is from RNAcentral.